UGGGGGAUAUUGCACAAUGGGCGAAAGCCUGAUGCAGCGACGCCGCGUGAGGGAAGACGGCCUUCGGGUUGUAAACCUCUGUCAUUCGGGACGAAUAGAUGACGGUACCGAAGAAGGAAGCUCCGGCUAACUACGUGCCAGCAGCCGCGGUAAUACGUAGGGAGCGAGCGUUGUCCGGAAUUACUGGGUGUAAAGGGAGCGUAGGCGGGAAAGCAAGUUGGAAGUGAAAUGCAUGGGCUUAACCCAUGAGCUGCUUUCAAAACUGUUUUUCUUGAGUGAAGUAGAGGCAGGCGGAAUUCCUAGUGUAGCGGUGAAAUGCGUAGAUAUUAGGAGGAACACCAGUGGCGAAGGCGGCCUGCUGGGCUUUAACUGACGCUGAGGCUCGAAAGCGUGGGUAGCAAACA
Molecule: ribosomal RNA, 404 nt
Filed under: uncultured bacterium
Lineage: Bacteria
Description: bacterial SSU rRNA
Rfam family: Bacterial small subunit ribosomal RNA
Source: RNAcentral